GGGGGAGUAGCGAAGUGGCUAAACGCGGCGGACUGUAAAUCCGCUCCUUCGGGUUCGGAGGUUCGAAUCCUCUCUCCCCCA
Molecule: transfer RNA, 81 nt
Filed under: Periweissella beninensis
Lineage: Bacteria; Bacillati; Bacillota; Bacilli; Lactobacillales; Lactobacillaceae
Description: tRNA-Tyr
Rfam family: tRNA
About the family: Transfer RNA (tRNA) molecules are approximately 80 nucleotides in length. Their secondary structure includes four short double-helical elements and three loops (D, anti-codon, and T loops). Further hydrogen bonds mediate the characteristic L-shaped molecular structure. tRNAs have two regions of fundamental functional importance: the anti-codon, which is responsible for specific mRNA codon recognition, and the 3' end, to which the tRNAs corresponding amino acid is attached (by aminoacyl-tRNA synthetases). tRNAs cope with the degeneracy of the genetic code in two manners: having more than one tRNA (with a specific anti-codon) for a particular amino acid; and 'wobble' base-pairing, i.e. permitting non-standard base-pairing at the 3rd anti-codon position.
Source: RNAcentral